UGGCAGGAUCAACCAGGUAGCAUUCCUCUUCGACGUCGUCGAUCGCACACGAACGAGUCGACAUGCGAACGACGGUCGUUUUGGAGAAGCGAAAACGCUUGAUAAGGGUAACACAAGGCCACAACAGCCCAAUACCCGAUUAAGGUUCYGCAUCCGAGAGACCAAACGAUGCCCAAUGAACCGCUUUGCCAAUGCAACACURACAAGACGGAGCAAAGAGAUCGCUUCGAGGUUCACCCAACGCCGUGUGAACGACGCAUGAUGAAAAGGGACAUGGAUAUCACGAUGAAAUUCCGUCAAAUAGGUAUGCAACACAGAAAACCCAUAGGAUGCGCAAGGAAGAACCUUGACGCACAACUGAAAAGGCAUGCCCGGGUGGACGUCGCUGCGCAAGCAGAAGUCCAACCACCCGUAACACGCCAAACACCACUCACGCACCUUUACGGUCGACAUUCCCUAGAAUCGCCCAAACGUUCCCACCACCCAUGAGGCACGAAUGCCAAAUGAGCAACGAGAAGCCCGAAGCAACCCCCAGAAKGC
RNAcentral lists this unclassified non-coding RNA (540 nucleotides) under Duseniella patagonica. RNAcentral describes it as "partial external transcribed spacer". Lineage: Eukaryota; Viridiplantae; Streptophyta; Magnoliopsida; Asterales; Asteraceae. The record is from RNAcentral.